ACUAGUUUGUAAUGGAUCAUCCGAAAGUACAAGGAAGCUUUCAGGAAGGGCUCCAAGAAUAAAGCUCCCAGACUUCAAGAAUACUUGGCAUAGGUUGGGUAAGAGGAUGAAGAAAACUCAAGGGUGCCAAUCGAACAAUUGCUACCACAAAGAUCUAUUGGUAUCAGCAUUUGAGAACCGAUGGAGUCAACUGUUCAUUGAGGAAUUGCUGAUAGAGGGGCUCAUGAGAAAAGACUAUUACAAGUCCAAUGUCCAAAGGUGCCGUCGAAGAAGAGGUGAAUGGAGCAACCAAGUCACACACUAGAGGGCCCUAUAAACACAAGUGAGGAUCCUUCUAUGGUUCUAACAUAGGAACCUGUGAUUAAGGCUGUAGUGGCUUUAGUAAGGAUCCUGCUUUUGUUGAUCAAGAGGAUUUAGACGACGAAGAGAGGGUCGGUUACGAGACCGAUACCUACUUUUUUGAUCCAAAUGACACUAGUUUUGAGGGUGAUAUAGAUGAUGAAGUUCAACCAGAAGCUGGUAUGGAAGCAACUCUCGUGACCAUUCCUACAAAGGGCGAACCUAAUUGGCUAUUGGUGCAAUAGAAAUCCUCAAACCUGAAUCUGAGCAUGAGGCUGCCAUAGUAGCAAGUCCUACCCUAUUUUUGCUGCAUGAUGCAAGCUGAUCAUUGUUGUGUCUUCUAAUUCUGAUCCCGAUGAUGUACCAAUCUCUCCGAUCCUAUAAGGAAUUGGUGUGGCGGUCCUACCAAGCCUUGAGCCUCAUUUUGAAGAUGAGCCUGUCGAGGCGGGGGACAUAUUGAUUAAGCUAGAGGUUGCGGCUACUAGUUUUGCAAAUGCACUAGUGGAUGUGACAACGAUGUCAGCGUUAGUCAUACGGUCCUCUAAAUCACUAGUUGUGACAACUCCAUCUUCUUCUGCUAUGAUGGACAUUUCGAGCGUGUUGGCUUCACUAGUGUUGUUCUUCUUGCCGGGUGGCCGUCAAAAUCAAGCUUCGCCAGCUACUUUUUGUUGGAUAUUAAAAUAAUUUUUUAAUCUUAAGAAAAAUGUGCAUGCA
Long non-coding RNA from Asparagus officinalis (garden asparagus), 1053 nucleotides. RefSeq lists it as uncharacterized. The transcript has 3 exons. NCBI's taxonomy places the organism in Eukaryota, Viridiplantae, Streptophyta, Magnoliopsida, Asparagales, Asparagaceae. The record is from RefSeq and is a predicted model, not a curated record.